This 506-nucleotide ribosomal RNA is filed under the name uncultured bacterium. RNAcentral describes it as "partial 16S ribosomal RNA". It matches the Rfam family "Bacterial small subunit ribosomal RNA", at positions 28 to 523 of the family's 1533-position model. The record is from RNAcentral.
GAUGAACGCUAGCUACAGGCUUAACACAUGCAAGUCGAGGGGUAACGAGAGGAAAGCUUGCUUUCCUUGUCGACGACCGGCGCACGGGUGAGUAACGCGUAUCCAACCUGCCCCCAACUAGGGAAUAACCUUGCGAAAGUAAGACUAAUACCCUAUGAUUUCCUCAGAUGUCAUCUGACGAGGAACAAAGAUUUAUCGGUUGUGGAUGGGGAUGCGUCUGAUUAGCUUGUUGGCGGGGUAACGGCCCACCAAGGCAACGAUCAGUAGGGGUUCUGAGAGGAAGGUCCCCCACAUUGGAACUGAGACACGGUCCAAACUCCUACGGGAGGCAGCAGUGAGGAAUAUUGGUCAAUGGGCGGAAGCCUGAACCAGCCAAGUAGCGUGCAGGAUGACGGCCCUAUGGGUUGUAAACUGCUUUUAUACAGGAAUAAAGUUAGCCACGUGUGGUUAUUUGUAGGUACUGUAUGAAUAAGGACCGGCUAAUUCCGUGCCAGCAGCCGCUGUAA